UAGGGAAUCUUCCGCAAUGGGCGAAAGCCUGACGGAGCAACGCCGCGUGAGUGACGAAGGUCUUCGGAUCGUAAAGCUCUGUUGCCAAGGAAGAAAGACUGGUAGAGGGAAUGCUACCAGAGUGACGGUACUUGAGAAGAAAGCCCCGGCUAACUACGUGCCAGCAGCCGCGGUAAUACGUAGGGGGCAAGCGUUGUCCGGAAUUAUUGGGCGUAAAGCGCGCGCAGGCGGUUUGUUAAGUCUGAUGUGAAAGGCAGGAGCUCAACUCCUGUUAGCAUUGGAAACUGACAGACUGGAGUGCAGCAGAGGAAAGUGGAAUUCCACGUGUAGCGGUGAAAUGCGUAGAGAUGUGGAGGAACACCAGUGGCGAAGGCGACUUUCUGGGCUGUAACUGACGCUG
This 400-nucleotide ribosomal RNA is filed under the name uncultured bacterium. Its description in RNAcentral is "bacterial SSU rRNA". It matches the Rfam family "Bacterial small subunit ribosomal RNA", at positions 355 to 748 of the family's 1533-position model. The record is from RNAcentral.